UUUAAAUGCAAAUCUAUUUUAUAGAUGUGAGCUAAUCAAAUUUUUUAACUCAGUGAAUAGACAAAUAGAUACUUAAAAUCUUUUUUUUUUUUAAUUUUUCGUUUAUUUGCAUCUGUGGCACGCUGGUCAUCGUAACGUUAUUCUGCUCUUUGUUUAACACUCUCAUAUCAGGGCAAGGAGCUAUCGAGGAAAAUCAUUUAUGCUAAUGUUUCUCUGUCUUUCUUCCAUAGAAAUAACAUAUUGUUCUUCCUUCCUAAGUUUUAAGUUUUUCAUAUGUAAAUAAAGAUACAAUCUCAUUGAACGCACUCCUCGUAAAUAAAAUGAAUUCCUGACCUUAUUAUUCUGAAAUGUCUUCUAUCAACGAAAGAAAAUAUAAUGCCCCGUUAAUAAAGGCAAUAAAUAAGUUCAGCUAAGUAAAGAAAAAUAAUGAGAACAGGGCAAGGUAAAGACCUUCAUUGUCAGGCAUAAACAGGUGUUUUAUUUUAGGUCUAAUUUAUCUAUGGCGACAGGAUUUAUUGAUCUCAUCUAGAUUAUAAAAAUAGUUAAAUAUUGAAAGAAAAAAAUCCCAUAUAAACGGAAGCUACUGAAACUAACUUCGAACUUCGAUAAAACAACUUGCUGAGAAUAAUUCUGAAUAUGGACACCAUUAAAAAAAUUAUUGGCGCAAAGCUUACUGAAACCAAACCAAAAACCGAACAAGAAAAAAAGGAACAACCAAUGCUUGUCAACAUUAUGCUUGGAGGGAUCCCGUACAGAUUUGAAAAGAAACGAAUAACUCCAUUGAAAAUGUGGAGAUAUGCAGAUUGUGGCAGACCACUUUAUCCAGAGUCAGCUCUUGAAAAUAGACAACAGUAGAAGAUGUGCCAGAGAAAAAAAAACAUCGUUGUAACUUUUUUUUCAUCUUUUAUGAAAAUAAAAAUACACUGCAUAUUCCUGUAA
Long non-coding RNA from Biomphalaria glabrata, 939 nucleotides. RefSeq lists it as uncharacterized. The transcript has 3 exons. Lineage: Eukaryota; Metazoa; Mollusca; Gastropoda; Planorbidae. The record is from RefSeq and is a predicted model, not a curated record.